This 207-nucleotide long non-coding RNA is filed under the name Linum usitatissimum (flax). Its description in RNAcentral is "long non-coding RNA (LUSI_LNC000608)". The record is from RNAcentral. Lineage: Eukaryota; Viridiplantae; Streptophyta; Magnoliopsida; Malpighiales; Linaceae.
GCCGCUAUUAGUAUUAAGAUAGGAUAUUCAAGUGGCGAAACCGAGGCGAUCCAAAAACCGUCUGCAUGGGUAUUUUGUAAUGGAUUAGGGGCGGGUUGAGGGUCGCCUUGUUGAUAAAACAAUUCGAAAAUAAAUAUAACCAUUUGGGUUAGGAUUUGGUAUGGGAUUUCAUACCUAUGAGUUGAAUCACCAACGCCAACAGGGCCA